Molecule: ribosomal RNA, 379 nt
Filed under: uncultured eukaryote
Lineage: Eukaryota
Description: partial 18S ribosomal RNA
Rfam family: Eukaryotic small subunit ribosomal RNA
Source: RNAcentral
CAAUAGCGUAUAUUAAAGUUGUUGCGGUUAAAAAGCUCGUAGUUGGAUUUCUGCUGAGAACGACCGGUCCGCCCUUUGGGUGUGUAUCUGGCUCUUUCUCGGCAUCUUCUUGGUGAACGUUGCUGCACUUGACUGUGUGGAGCGCUACCCAGGACUUUUACUUUGAGGAAAUUAGAGUGUUUCAAGCAGGCAUACGCCUUGAAUACAUUAGCAUGGAAUAAUAAGAUAGGACCUCGGUUCUAUUUUGUUGGUUUCUAGAGCUGAGGUAAUGAUUAAUAGGGAUAGUUGGGGGCAUUCGUAUUUAACUGUCAGAGGUGAAAUUCUUGGAUUUGUUAAAGACGGACUACUGCGAANGNAUUUGCNAAGGAUGUUUNCAUUG